RNAcentral lists this long non-coding RNA (4362 nucleotides) under Nicotiana tabacum (common tobacco). RNAcentral describes it as "long non-coding RNA (NTAB_LNC002368)". Lineage: Eukaryota; Viridiplantae; Streptophyta; Magnoliopsida; Solanales; Solanaceae. The record is from RNAcentral.
UCAUUUUUGACACACACGACAGAGUCUAGAAUCUGCUCUCGUCUUCCGUCUCUUCUAUUCCAACCGAUGGAGGAGUUUCAGUUCGCCUUCUUCAAACUUUCAACAAUACUCGUAGCUCUUUUCGUCUUCUUAUCUAUCUAUUAGAUUUCAGGCAUUAUUCGCUCAAUCCUUGCUCGCAUCUUCUUUGUUUUCUCUUUGUCUUCUUUUCUUUCUUUGCUACUUUUAGAUCUAUUUAACUGUUUUCAAUUUCAUGGAUAAAUUUCCUUGGAUUUUGUAUUUUCCAACCAGAUGAUGCGGAAUUACCAUUUUAAGGGCUAUUCUCCGUCCAAUUUCAUUGAUGUUGCCUUCUUCUUGCUGAUUCACCUCUAUCUCUUCUUCUUCAUAAGGUAUUGAAAUUUAUUGUUCUACUAACUUAAAACAAAAAGGAUAUUUAAUUUUACUCCUAAUUCAUGUUGUUCUUCCUUUUCUUUACAUUUUUUGUAUAUGUUAUAUUUCUAUGAAUUGUGAAUCGCGAGUAUGUUUUCAGGCUCUUCUUAACUGCCUCUGCGCACACCCCUCACUCUCCAUAGCCGAGGAAAAGAACAGUAAGAACUCAUGAUAACCUAAUUUUGAUAAAGCACUAAAAUUGGUGUAUGGGUUGAGAUUGAAAUAAAGUGAAUGAAUUAAGUCAAAUGGCUAUUGGGAAAAAUUUAUGCAUAUAAAUUUCUAUUGACAGAUUUUAUUCAUUAUUUCAUGUCUUAGGAAUGCUUAAUUAGGCUUAAGAUGAUUUGGGAACUUUUCUUAAAAGUUGUGUUCGAGCAACAUCUGAUUGUUUAAACUUAAAUUCAUUUAUCUGGCUACAAAUUUAUGGAAUAAGGAAGGUAUGUUAAAGGGCAUGUAAUGGGAUUGCUUUAUAUGAUGACUCAUUGUUGUUGAUGGGAUUUGAAAGUAGAGGAAUAUUUAAAAGUAGAGGAGUAGGAAGUAGAGCACCGAGGAUUGAUAAAGAUUGUAUGAAGUUGCAAGACACUAAUGGUCCAGAAAAAGGACGAGAAAAUAGCACAGAUAUCCAAAACUUUAAGAAGCAGACAAGAGGAAUAGAGAUGUAAGGACAUGUAUAAGAGGAUACCUAAGCCAAGGAAGUAGCUUAAUUUUUUUUAUUUUUUUAUUCCUUGUUUAUUGGCAUCCACUGAUACAAUGUGUGUUCAACUAUAAAUUAUAGUUGUUUGUCUUAUUGGAAAUUCUCAUUCACCCAUCUUUAAGCCUAAUUUGUCUUAUUUUCUACUGAUAUGUCCAUGUCUUAUUAUCAACAUAUGUUAUCUUCACCUAUACUUUCUUAUUAUUCUCUACUUUUAUGCAAUUUUAUUAGAAUAUUCUUUAAGUUUGUAUUUUAUUAAGAUAUUUUGUCCAAAAGUAUAAGUGACGGAUGGAUCUUUCCAUCUUGCAUACUUGACUGAUUGAUUCACUUGGUUACUUCUUGACAAUUGGUUUUUUCUCCUGUUAGUUCAGUACCGAAUGCAUAUGGAUUAUCAGGUUUGUAUAUUUAUCAGUGGAAAAUAUUAUUGCAUUCAUAAAUACACUUUGUUUUAACAUAAAUAUAGCAUGUAUUAAAACAUUCUUCCAUGAUGAUUACUUUCAACUUUUACAAAUUAAAACUAUUACAGGAACCUAGAAAAAGGAUUAUUUUCAAGGUCAUGAAAGAGUACUCAAAGGUCCUCCUCCAUCACUUCAAGUGGCAAAGGCUGUGAACUAUUUAACUUGGUACCCUUCUUUUUAUCCAUCAAGGCCUCUACAUGCUGCUCUUUACUUCCUUUUUGGGUGUAAGUUUUUUUUUCUUCAUAUUUAUGUUUAUCAUUGUGAUUAUUGAUGGUAAGGCCCAGCUCUCUUCGCAUUCAGUUUCUUAAAUCAAUUGGUGUGUUUGCUUUUGUGCUUUUAAUUUAUUUCAUCACUUUCAAGUUGUAGUUACAAGUUCAAAGAUCAAUUGAUUUUUUUUUAAUAUUCCGGAACAUAUGAUGACUAAUAGCUUGUUUGGCCAAGCUGCAAAAAUUAACUUAUUUUGAGAAGUGUUUUUUCUCAAAAGUGCUUUUUUCAAAAGUAUUUUUUGGUGAGAAUCAGUUUGUGUUUGGCUAAUUAAUUUGAAAAGCACUUCUGAGCAGCAAUUAGUAUUUGGCCAAGUUUUUAAAAACUGCUUCUAAGUGUAUUUUUCUUAAAAGUGCUUUUCAAAAAAGUGCUUUUGGAGAGAAGCUACUUUUUUCUGCUUCUCCAAAACUGCUUCUGCUUCUCCUCAAAAGCACUUUUCUUUCUUCAAAAAGCUUGGUCAAACACUUUAACUUUGAAAAAAAAGUACUUCUUUUAAAAAGAAAAGUGCUUUUGGCUUUGGAGAAGCUGGGCCAAACAGGCGAUAAGUCUAGCAUUCAAAAACUUUCCUCUUAGUUAGAAAAGGUAGUAUUGUAAUGCAUGAAAUAACUGGUGAUCGAGGAGGUUUUAUAUUCAUACUUUGAAAGUUCUAGCUUUGAUAUUGCCUAUUAUUUGUGGCUACAAGAGUUGCUUUAAUUUUUAUUUGGCUGAAUAGGUAGGGUGAUUUAUGAUACAAUAACAUGUCGUAGUAUGUACACUUUCGGAAAUAAGUACUUCGUAAAAUUGUACUAUUGUUAGGUAUUGAGUUUUAUUUGUGAAUUGAAGUAUAUAACUCUUUCGCACAGUGUAUUAAUACCAUGAGAUAUUUUUCCGUUCUAUGAGUUUAUCUACUAAGAUUAAGGACAAAUAAAAUAAGAAAUCAAGGAUAGUUUUGCAUAAUUAUUGUAGUGUAUUUGGUAACAGUGGCAUGGUAUAACUUUGUUUGUUUCCUUGGUUAUAAGUCUUUGCAAAUUAAAUAUAAUGUACUACAAAUGUAUUUAUAAAAAAGUGCAAUUUAUGCAAAAAGGGUGACAAGAACAAACCAAAAUUUUGAGGAAAAAAAAAAACAUAUUACCUAGGCUGAGUGCCAUUUCAAACAUAAGGUGCUCUUGCAGAUAGAAUAACACAAAAACGUCAUUAUUGUUACUUAGUUGAUCAACCAUUAGAAGUUUGUUGAUUGACCGUUGUUUGGGAAGUUCUAGAAUAAGUACCAUCUUGAGCUAACUAUCUUGAACACAAUUUUAUGUUUGAUUAUAUCUUCUUCAGUAUUUCGUGAACUCUAAAUUAUUUUCAUUGUUGACUCUGGUAGAAAUUGAUUAUUCAUCAAUGGGAGAUUUAAAAGAACCCCAUGACUGAGGUAUGUAUUAGGUCUUGAGCACUACCAGCUUACUCAAUAUAUUUAGAUAUAAAGAAUGUGUUUUAUUGUAAUUGUCUUGAAGAGUUUGUACUUGAAUUAAACUAUCUACUCAGUUUCCUUUCGAUAUUUGACUUAUGGAACUUCAGUUUGAUACUUUAUGUGAUAAAUACAGUCAAUAAAUCAAUCUAUCUAUGUCUUGAAACAGAGAAGAAACUUUUCAAUUAAGGUUUGUGAAGAAAAUGAGAAAAGCAAAGUGGAUCACUUUUUUAUAUUUCCCUUUUCGUGUAUUAGAAAAUUUUAUUAUUGACAAAGACCACACUAAGAUAAUGCUGAGAUGACAUAAAAGAAAUAUUAAUAUCAGUCCAUAUUUAUUCUUGCAGUGAUGACAAAAAAUAUAUCAAUGUAUUUACUUCAUAUCCUUAUAUGUUCUUUAUAACGAAUGAACUUUUUGUGUCACUUAAUAGUCAUAUGAUAUUAAUGUAUCUUUUUCUUUUAUAUGAGGGAAAGUAAAAUGCAUUGACCAACUUUUCUGGACAUCAUUUGCAUUUCACAUAAGUUGUGUCAGCAUUAGCUUAUCAAAGAAAACAUAAGGCUUAGCAUUUUUUCGAUUUUUUCGUUAAUUGUUAGGUGGUUAAAUCUUAAUGAUAGGAAGAUCCUAUACUGUUUUGAUAAAAUAUUAUAUUUGAUGUAUCUUUAGAUUGUAGUAACAGUGUCUUGCUAUAAAAGGCCAUAAUUUGACUCUUGAGUAUAGUAUUUUUCGAGUAGUUUAUUUGUGGUGAUCGCACUUAUCUCUUUAUGUCGUGAUAUUUUUCAAUUCUUGCUAUCAUUUAAUAUUUUCUAUCUCUAAAUAUUUGACUUCUUAUUCUCUACUUGGAAUAGGACAGGUUGUCUGAAGAACACAUAGUAGCAGAUGUAUGAAUGCAAUACACAAAAUAUUUGCCAUACUUUAUGUGGCUCUUAGUUGGACUAUGUUCUCUUUUGUUUAUAGUACAAACACGGAUAGCAACUGAUAUAUUUAGUUGAUCACGUAGCAUAAGAUAGUGGGUAGAAAACGAUGAAGAAAUAAGGCGUACUUGAGCUUGAGUUUGAUUUUGUAAGUAUAUUUAAAGGAAGUUGAAGAAAAGGAAAUAUUU